UAGGGAAUCUUCGGCAAUGGACGAAAGUCUGACCGAGCAACGCCGCGUGAGUGAAGAAGGUUUUCGGAUCGUAAAACUCUGUUGUUAGAGAAGAACAAGGGUGAGAGUAACUGUUCACCCCUUGACGGUAUCUAACCAGAAAGCCACGGCUAACCACGUGCAG
Molecule: ribosomal RNA, 163 nt
Filed under: uncultured bacterium
Lineage: Bacteria
Description: partial 16S ribosomal RNA
Rfam family: Bacterial small subunit ribosomal RNA
Source: RNAcentral